GAUCCUGGCUCAGGAUGAACGCUGGCGGCGUGCUUAACACAUGCAAGUCGAGCGAAGCACUUUACUUGGAUUUCUUCGGAGUGACGAGUAUUGUGACUGAGCGGCGGACGGGUGAGUAACGCGUGGGUAACCUGCCUCAUACAGGGGGGAUAACAGUUAGAAAUGACUGCUAAUACCGCAUAAGACCACAGCACCGCAUGGUGCAGGGGUAAAAACUCCGGUGGUAUGAGAUGGACCCG
RNAcentral lists this ribosomal RNA (239 nucleotides) under uncultured bacterium. RNAcentral describes it as "partial 16S ribosomal RNA". It matches the Rfam family "Bacterial small subunit ribosomal RNA", at positions 15 to 233 of the family's 1533-position model. The record is from RNAcentral.